GAAAUGCGAUAAGUAAUGUGAAUUGCAGAAUUCAGUGAAUCAUCGAAUCUUUGAACGCACAUUGCGCCCUUUGGUAUUCCGAAGGGCAUGCCUGUUCGAGCGUCAUUUCACCACUCAAGCCUGGCUUGGUAUUGGGCGUCGCGGUGUUUCCGCGCGCCUUAAAGUCUUCCGGCUGAGCUGUCCGUCUCUAAGCGUUGUGGAUUUUUCAAUUCGCUUCGGAGUGCGGGCGGCCGCGGCCGUUAAAUCUUUAUUCAAAGGUUGACCUCGGAUCAGGUAGGGAUACCCGCUGAACUUAA
Molecule: unclassified non-coding RNA, 296 nt
Filed under: uncultured Mycosphaerella
Lineage: Eukaryota; Fungi; Ascomycota; Dothideomycetes; Mycosphaerellales; Mycosphaerellaceae
Description: sequence contains ITS1
Rfam family: 5.8S ribosomal RNA (bases 1-105)
Source: RNAcentral